AAGUCGUAACAAGGUCUCCGUAGGUGAACCUGCGGAAGGAUCAUUAUCACAAAUGAUUUUUAACUCUCUUAAUCCAGAGUUAAACCUCUUCUUAAACCAAUCUAAUUAAAAUGUGAAAUCGUUUUAUUUUAAGACUUGGCAACAAGUCUUAAAAUUAUUAACCAAUUGAACCCUUUUCUAAUUAAUGUUAUUUUAUUUAUUUAGUUCUGAAAUCUAUUAUAUAUCAAUAUGUAAUAAUAUUGACAUGUAAUAAGUUACAUUACGAAACAAUUUAAAUAAAACAACUCUUAGCAACGGAUAUCUUGGUUCUC
Molecule: unclassified non-coding RNA, 311 nt
Filed under: fungal sp.
Lineage: Eukaryota; Fungi
Description: partial internal transcribed spacer region
Rfam family: Eukaryotic small subunit ribosomal RNA (bases 1-46)
Source: RNAcentral